This is a long non-coding RNA of Mastomys coucha (southern multimammate mouse), 658 nucleotides long. RefSeq lists it as uncharacterized. The record is from RefSeq and is a predicted model, not a curated record. NCBI's taxonomy places the organism in Eukaryota, Metazoa, Chordata, Mammalia, Rodentia, Muridae. The transcript has 2 exons.
AAAUCAUUAUGCAGCCCAAGCUGGCCUCAAAUCUGUAGCAACAAUCCAGGAUGUAGGGCACCAUGCUGUCUGCUUCAAACCAAACACUGGUCUCCUAAGGUUAAGGAUAGAUACGCUAAGAUGCCACCCAGAAACUGAGGAGCUCGACCAACCCUCGCCAGCCGUGCGAAAGACUCAUCUCAGAGAUGAAGUUUGGAUUCACCACAGCACAGUGGAGAGCCCUCCACUAGCAGGAACGAGUCAGUGGUAUUUUCAAAGUCCUACCUGGCGGUUGGUCUUGCACCCUGUCGUUCCAUUCAAUUAUUCCAGGUCUUGUUUAAACCCUGCUGUUUCACUCCUGCAGCGGGAUCCGCUCGCUAGAUCAGAGCAGGAAGCAGCGCCAUCGCGAGGCGGCCGGCAGCAGUCCACUCUAGAAGGGACUGCCUCUCGCACUGCCCGGUAACUUCGCAAUGACUACCCAAGUGUAAGCGCAAACUAUUCGUGACAGUUGCGGAAAUGAAGGCGGCUGGUUAAGUGACUUGUAAGUGUACCAUACCUCAAAUUAUCACAUCUAAGUUACAUUUCUUCGAUGAAGUUCGCUUAACACGAGGAGGCCGAGAUGAGAGAGGCGUACAGAUGUUUAAGUAGUUUUGUAAAUAUAAUCUCAAGCCUGGCCUAA